GGAAUCUUGCGCAAUGGGCGAAAGCCUGACGCAGCAACGCCGCGUGCGGGAAGAAGGCUUUCGGGCUGUAAACCGCUUUCAGUAGGAACGAAACUGGCGGUACCUACAGAAGAAGGAGCGGCCAACUAUGUGCCAGCAGCCGCGGUGACACAUAGGCUCCAAGCGUUGUCCGGAUUUAUUGGGCGUAAAGAGCUCGUAGGCGGUUGAGUAAGUCGGGUGUGAAAACUUUGGGCUUAACCCAAAGAUGCCACUCGAUACUGCUUUGACUUGAGUUCGGUAGGGGAGUGGGGAAUUCCUUGUGUAGCGGUGAAAUGCGCAGAUAUAAGGAGGAACACCGGUGGCGAAGGCGCCACUCUGGGCCGAUACUGACGCUGAGGAGCGAAAGCGUGGGGAGCAAACAGGAUUAGAUACCCUGGUAGUCCACGCGGUAAACGGUGGUCACUAGGUGUGGGUCUCUUCAAACGAGAUCUGCGCCGUCGCUAACGCAUUAAGUGACCCGCCUGGGGAGUACGGUCGCAAGACUAAAACUCAAAUGAAUUGACGG
This 544-nucleotide ribosomal RNA is filed under the name uncultured bacterium. RNAcentral describes it as "bacterial SSU rRNA". It matches the Rfam family "Bacterial small subunit ribosomal RNA", at positions 358 to 916 of the family's 1533-position model. The record is from RNAcentral.